GCUGAGUGGUGGCCAGGAUCCGGGGUGAGGCGUAGGGGGGAAGCGUGGGCCGGAUUUAUGGGGGGUAAAGAUGGGGGAUGCGGCGAAGCAGGUCCGCUGUGAAGACGAGAGGCUCAACGUCGAGAGGGCGGUGGAAGCCGUGUGGCUAGAGGCCGGAAGAGGAGAGUGGAAUUCCCGGUGUAGCGGUGAAAUGCGCAGAUAUCGGGAAGAACACCCGUGGCGAAGGCGGCUCUCUGGGACGGUACUGACGCUGAGACGCGAAAGCGUGGGGAGCGAACAGGAUUAGAUACCCCGGUAGUC
Molecule: ribosomal RNA, 300 nt
Filed under: uncultured Bacillus sp.
Lineage: Bacteria; Bacillati; Bacillota; Bacilli; Caryophanales; Bacillaceae
Description: bacterial SSU rRNA
Rfam family: Bacterial small subunit ribosomal RNA (bases 52-300)
Source: RNAcentral